Molecule: long non-coding RNA, 518 nt
Organism: Lemur catta (Ring-tailed lemur)
Lineage: Eukaryota; Metazoa; Chordata; Mammalia; Primates; Lemuridae
Exons: 3
Source: RefSeq, a predicted model, not a curated record
CCAAAGCACCACUGGAAAACAUUCUGCCAUUUGCAACACGUGGCCUUCAAGGUCACCCCGGGUAGGGAAAGAGAAAGGACGGUGGGUGAUUGUUGUGUCUGGACCACGCCUGGGAGGGGCGCUCUGCUCACAUUUCAUUGGCUGGAGUCAGUCACGUGGCUGCCCCUACCCGCUAGGGAGGCUGGGAAAUGUGGCCUAGUUGAGUGUCCAAGGGGAGGAAACGCGUAUUCAUGCGCACUGGCGGACUCUCCCAGAGCGGGGCAAGGAGCACACUUGGGCCAGCCCGAGGGCAAGCUGGAAGCACCGAGAGUUCCAGAAGCAGCAGGAAUUGGUGGAUAGAUACCUCCGCUCCCUGGCUCCCUGGUUGGGAUCACUGAGGGCUUCAUGGUCCCAAGAUGGCUGUCACUUCUGUAAGAACCAUCCUUGUUCCAGGAGGAGGAUACCACGGAGUCACUGAGCUCUCCUCUUCAUUCUUUUUUUUUUUUUAAGACAGUGUCUCACUCUGUCACCAGGCUAGA